Molecule: ribosomal RNA, 465 nt
Filed under: uncultured Megasphaera sp.
Lineage: Bacteria; Bacillati; Bacillota; Negativicutes; Veillonellales; Veillonellaceae
Description: bacterial SSU rRNA
Rfam family: Bacterial small subunit ribosomal RNA
Source: RNAcentral
CCUACGGGGGGCAGCAGUGGGGAAUCUUCCGCAAUGGACGAAAGUCUGACGGAGCAACGCCGCGUGAACGAUGACGGCCUUCGGGUUGUAAAGUUCUGUUAUACGGGACGAAUGGCGUAGCGGUCAAUACCCGUUACGAGUGACGGUACCGUAAGAGAAAGCCACGGCUAACUACGUGCCAGCAGCCGCGGUAAUACGUAGGUGGCAAGCGUUGUCCGGAAUUAUUGGGCGUAAAGGGCGCGCAGGCGGCGUCGUAAGUCGGUCUUAAAAGUGCGGGGCUUAACCCCGUGAGGGGACCGAAACUGCGAUGCUAGAGUAUCGGAGAGGAAAGCGGAAUUCCUAGUGUAGCGGUGAAAUGCGUAGAUAUUAGGAGGAACACCAGUGGCGAAAGCGGCUUUCUGGACGACAACUGACGCUGAGGCGCGAAAGCCAGGGGAGCAAACGGGCUUAGAUACCCGGGUAGUC